RNAcentral lists this ribosomal RNA (670 nucleotides) under uncultured Bacteroidota bacterium. RNAcentral describes it as "SSU rRNA". It matches the Rfam family "Bacterial small subunit ribosomal RNA", at positions 245 to 915 of the family's 1533-position model. The record is from RNAcentral. Lineage: Bacteria; Pseudomonadati; Bacteroidota.
CUAGUUGGUAGGGUAACGGCCUACCAAGGCGACGAUGGGUAGCUGGUGUGAGAGCACGACCAGCCACACGGGCACUGAGACGCGGGCCCGACUCCUACGGGAGGCAGCAGUGAGGAAUAUUGGUCAAUGGACGCAAGUCUGAACCAGCCAUGCCGCGUGAAGGAUGAAGGCCUUCUGGGUUGUAAACUUCUUUUACCUGGGAAGAAACCUCAGUUUUCUAACUGAGUUGACGGUACCAGAGGAAUAAGCACCGGCUAACUCCGUGCCAGCAGCCGCGGUAAUACGGAGGGUGCAAGCGUUAUCCGGAUUUACUGGGUUUAAAGGGUGUGUAGGCGGGUCUUUAAGUCAGUGGUGAAAUCUCCGAGCUCAACUUGGAAACUGCCAUUGAUACUAUUGAUCUUGAAUUUUGUUGAGGUAGGCGGAAUAAGUCAUGUAGCGGUGAAAUGCAUAGAUAUGACUUAGAACACCAAUUGCGAAGGCAGCUUGCUAAACAAAUAUUGACGCUGAGGCACGAAAGCGUGGGGAUCAAACAGGAUUAGAUACCCUGGUAGUCCACGCCCUAAACGAUGAUUACUCGACAUACGCGAUACACAGUGUGUGUCUGAGCGAAAGCAUUAAGUAAUCCACCUGGGAAGUACGACCGCAAGGUUGAAACUCAAAGGAAUUGACG